This is a long non-coding RNA of Gopherus evgoodei (Goodes thornscrub tortoise), 2095 nucleotides long. RefSeq lists it as uncharacterized. NCBI's taxonomy places the organism in Eukaryota, Metazoa, Chordata, Testudines, Testudinidae. The transcript is spliced from 3 exons. The record is from RefSeq and is a predicted model, not a curated record.
UGCUUUGAGGAUGUGAUGCUAAGAUGAUUCGUGGAGCUCCCACGCUCUGCAACUGCCCCCUGCUGCACUCCUCCCUUACUGUAAGGUUUCUCCUAACACCUAAACAGGAGAGUGGCUGCAGCUGGGAAGGGAAAGAUACGUCAGGGGGCUGGGGCUGAGAGCUUGUUUUCUCUUUAAUGAGAGACUUGGUGUCCCUUUAGACCCAUGUAAUCGUGUUUAGACACUGACAGAUGCCUUAGGAAUUGGUAUAAUGCUAAUGGAGUCUUACGGAUGAGAUAUAAAAUAUGUAUAUAUAAAAUACAACAAACCCAUGGCCUCCCAGGGCCUGCCCAGUUGUCGUUAUGCUGCUUAGCAAUAGCAUGGAUGCAGUGCCAGAGAUAGAACCCAGAUGUUCCUGCUCCAAAAGUCUAGGCCCCAACCACUUGAGCUCAAGGAGAAUCCCCAUUAGCCAUAUGGGGGUAUGGCACACAUUUGGGCAGUCCUGGUUCAGUCCUGCAAAGAAGAAUGGGGGUGUACAUACACCCUAGCCUGUACAGUGCAGUCAGCUCUGCCUUUAACUCACUGCUGGGCUCAGCACCCCCGGAUUCACUGAGGCUCUGCUUUGCCAGAGGAUGGCAGCGAUGGGGUCCUGAUGAUGCAGAGAACAGCUCUGUUGCUUUGGGGGUGAGGGGCUCUUUGCAGCCCUCAUCCCGAACUGCAGGGCAGAGUGCCCACAGGACUCUGCUCUGCCCCCUGCACCAGCUCACCAGCUGUCUUGCCAGUCUAUGGAUGUGUGCGGGCUUGUUUUUAUAGAAACCACUGCUGAGAAAUGAGGUCACUCUGACCCAGAGAAAGAGAGAAGUCCGGUCUGGUUAUUCCCCUAGACCUUCUGCCCCCAAUCAAGUAAACAGAGCUACUGAGUCUGCUCUGCUGUAUGUGCUGACCUGGGUGUGAACUGGAGAGAGAGGCCCUGCGCCAGGCCCCUGCACUGGACACGCCAGCACUCUGUGGCAGCUUGGAUCUGGAGCCACACUGGGUCGGGCCCAUGUGUGUAGCCCUGACUGAAAGGCAUCUAGUCCAAGAGUCUUCCCUAGAUAGUGCUGCCUAUAGUUAAAGUUGCCCAACUUCCCUAUAUGAGACUUUGUUUUCAGUUGCUUAUAACACUGCCAAACUUCAACUGUUUAGGCUGAAAUUUUCUGUGCUAGGUGUCUGCCUCAGGCUGAGUGUAGUUGGGAAGUUUUAGCUAAAAUUAUUCAGCCUUUUUGAAGAAUGUUACAGAUAUAUAUGUUGUUUUGCCCUUGUUGAAAAAAAACCCUCUUACAAACACUUUGUUGAGAAGCUCUAGAGCCUACGUGUUUUGGAACAGGGACUUGGAAUGUGGCAGGGAGUUUGCCCUGGGGUCAAGGAUGUGCCUUUUGCUGUUUCUAUGAAAAUUCACCCAAGUUUGCAAAUGUUUGAUAGAGACUUAUUAGAGUGGUGUUAAAUUCCCCAAAGAUUCCAUCUGCACCGAGCAUGCUCCACCGUCCUCACAGCUCCUGCAUGUGACUGGAUGAUGCGUGUGUCAUCUGGCAGAAUGACUGUGCAUGUGCCAGUCCGGGGGUUGCAGAGGCUGAGCAGGACUUGCCCUGGAGCUGCAGCUCCUGGAUGCCAGUGGCUGCUGUGCCAGGCAUGGGAACUGAGAGCCUAUCUCUCUGGUGUUCUCAAUGCCCCUGCUGCUGUUCCCAGGCAGCGAGGAGGAGGAGGAGGAAACAGCCACAUGAUCCUGGACUUGAACCUGGGAGUUCUGUCCUGAGUCUCCACUUUCCUCGUCUGUCAGCAAAUAGCUAUGAAACCCUCUUGUGAAAUGAAUGUGUCUCACCCUACGUCUAGUGAGUGGUCCACACAGAAAAUAAUAGCCUUCUACUGCUACCACUUAGAGGGGCUUUAAAGGCCCAAACCCUGCGAAUGACCCAAGUUCUCAGUCAAUCCAGCUUCAUAUGAUGGAAUUUCUGUGUUUUCAGGACCCCAGCCUCAUUCAGUGCAUGGGAUGCAUCUGCACUGGGGCUGAAUCAGGGCUGUGUAGUGAAGGAGGCUGUUGUCUGUAGGAUUCCUGCCUCAUUCGUUGCAGAAGUUUGAA